This 492-nucleotide ribosomal RNA is filed under the name uncultured bacterium. Its description in RNAcentral is "partial 16S ribosomal RNA". It matches the Rfam family "Bacterial small subunit ribosomal RNA", at positions 29 to 507 of the family's 1533-position model. The record is from RNAcentral.
AGUGAACGCUGGCGGUAGGCCUAACACAUGCAAGUCGAACGGCAGCACAGUAAUAGCUUGCUCUUCUGGAUUGCGAAUGGCGGACGUAUGACGAGUGUAUCCUAAUCUAGUUUUUCGGAUGGCUUAAGGAAGGGAAACUUACGCUAAUACCGCAUACGACGUACCGGGGAGAGCGUUGGAUCGUCGCGCCUUGCGGGAUUGAAUGAGCGGCUGUCGGUGUUGCUAGUUGGGGGGUUAAUGGCCCACCUAGGCGACGAUAGGUAGCUGGUCGGUGAGACUGGUCAGCCACACUGGAACUGAGACACGGUCCAGACUCCUACGGGAGGCAGCAGUGGGGAAUGUUGGACAAUGGGCGCAAGCCUGAUCCAGCCAUACCGCGUGGGUGAAGAAGGCCUUCGGGUUGUAAAGCCCUCUUGUUGGGAAAGAAACGCAGCAGGUUAAGACCCCGCUGUAGUGACGGUACUCAAUGAAGAAGCACCGGCUAACUUCGUG